ACCCAUACAACUAGCUCUCUCGUCAUAAACACUAAUUCUACUAGCUUUUGCCUAUAUAUGUGCUGUACCAGCCAUCAUCAAUAGUAAUACAAGGAGUAAGAGAAGGCAUACCCAUCUUCAGAAGUUGAAAUAAGCUCUAAACCCUUGUUCAGUAUCUGUUUUUGCGAAGGAAUAGCCCCCACUAGCUGGUAACACUGGCUCAACAAGCUAUAUGCUCUGCACUUGAGCUCAAAGCAUGACGGAAUUGACUUUAACAGCAAUUGCUGAACCCAAUUACAGCAUAGUUAUUCAGUAUCCAGCACUAAAAAAAGUUAUUAAAUUCCAAAUUACAGCAUAAUUGUUGCUGUUAAGCACAUGACUUACAGAGCGUUCAAGGUGGGCUUUGGCAUGGUUGACAUUAUUGGAGUGCUUAAGAAGGAGAGUGGCGAUCCGAAGCCGAGUUUUAAUUUCGACAAUAGGAAGGAACGAAACGUGGCUUUGACAUAUAGCUUCUAAGCAUUUCACGGCUUUUCCAAUUUCUCCCUUCUUCUCCUGAUAAUCUGCGAGUCCCCACAGUCCCUCCGCCACUGCUUCCAUUUUUUCAAAGUUCCUAGAGUUACCUGUGUCCUUACGCCACCUUUCGCUUCCCCUUCGCCGCCGUCAACCGCUAUAUCGCCGGAGGCUUAAUUAGCGGUGAAAUUUUUCGGGCAUUUCAAAUUGGGGAUUUGUCUAUCUGGGUCAACCCGUUUGACUUCCGCAGUGAAAUGACUGGGACAGUGACCCUUGUAAAUCGGACUAUUUUGGACUUUCUUUUAGAUUUCGACACGCGCGAUUAUUCUUCUUUUUCAUAUGUUUUUUAUUUUAAUAAACAAAUUGAUUUUUCUCUUUAGAGAUCAAAUAUAUAGAUGUAAAUUUGUUGAAAUUCACCUGACAAAAAUGUGCAUUGCACAGUAGAUAAUAUUUUUUCUAUCAUGGUAUUGGAAAAAUUACUCCAUGAAUCUUAAUUACAAGAUUCAUGUUAAAACAAUAGGGAAAUAUAAAGUUUUACAAUAAAAUUAAUGAAAAAGGGUCAAAAUACCCUUGAACUAGUGAAAAUAGAGCAGUUAUACCCCUCACUUCACCAUUAAUCAAGUGGAGCAAAUAUGCCCCUCCCACAAACGGACUCCACAUCAUAUGUAAAUCAGCAUAAAAUAAUAUUUUUUCUUUCACUUCUUCUACUUUCUCCUCCAACUUUAAUUCCAUUCGCUUCUCUUCCCCCGCACUCUACUCCGGCUCCACCACUUCUUUGUAAAAUUCCUGUGAAUUUUUUAUUUUAUUAAGGCUAAUUGCGGAGUAAAACUAAUAAUUAAGAGAAAUCCAAUGUGUGUAGGGCCUACACGAUGGCAUAAGAACGGUUUGAAUAUUGUGUUAGGAGAAUAAAGUAUUACGGAAGUGAUUUAUGAUCUAUGGAAAGCUGUGCAACCUGAUAGGUCGUUUUAUGAGUACUAGCUCCAUUUUCUGUAUUCCGAGACCUCUCAUAGCUUUAUUUGAUGAGUUAUGAUUUGCGUGUGUGGUCCGUGUCGUUUUUCGAAAAGCUAAUAUGUGAAAUUUUAAAGAAAAUGUGAUUUUUGACUUAAAUGAGGUUUGAGUUGACCACGGUCAACAUUUCUGGUAAACGACCUCGGAUCGGUAUUUCGACGAUUCUGAUAGGUUCGCAUGAUAUUUUUGGACUUUUACGCAUGGUUGGGUUCCCGGGUGACCCGAGGGUGUUUCGAGGCAUUGUGUGAAAAUUGACAAAAAUUGAGUUUCAUGUUGAAAAUAUUGAGUUUUGAUUAUCGAUUCUUGAUAUUUGAUGUUAUUUUUAUAUUUUGAGGUAGUGAGUGAGUUUGUAUGGUGUUAUUAUACCGGUGUAAAUGUUUGGAUUGGAGCCCGAGGGGCUCGAGUGAGUUUUGAAUGGCUUUUGGAAGGAAAUGAACUGUUGUUGGGAAUCUGGCAAUUGCGAGUCCCGCUUUUGCAAAGUCGAGCUGGCAAAUGUGAUAACUGGGGAGGGACUGUGAUCUUUGCAAAUGCGAAAUAGCUAUCACAAUUUCCAACUAGUGGCCAUCGCUUUUGCGAUGGAGUUGUCACAAAUGCGACCGGGGCAUGGGUUGGGCUGCCUUCGCAAAUGCGAAGGUGGAAUCGCAUUUGCGAUUGUGGGGAAUCUGCAAAUGUGAAGGUUAUGUCAUUUUUGCGACCAUUGUUUGGCUGGGACACUAUUCGCUUUUGCGAUUGUCGCAAUUGCGACAUCUACAACUGGGUAAAAGUUGGGAAAAAUGAGACUUAGCUUAUUUUACGUCAUUUUUCAAUCCUAUACUCCAUUAAGGAAAUUUCUUGAGAGCAUUUUCUUCCCAAAUUCAUUGGUAAUCAACUUUAACUGGUUUUCCAUCAAUUCUCAUUACUUUUUCAUGAAUUUCUUCAUCAAAUCUAUGAAUUUCACGUAUUCGGGCUCGGGGUGAAUGGAUAAUCGGAAAUUGAUUCGAAUCUCGGAUUUCGACCACGUGGGUUUGGGUUGACUUUUUGUUGAUAUUUUCAAAUAUGAUCAAAAUUGAACCUUUUUCAUUUGUGCGUAGUUUCUAAAGCUUGUUUUGGAUUGUUUGAAUGAUAUUUGACUAGAUUUGGUUGGAGGCUUGUUCUAAAGGAAAAGCCGUAGUCGAUUGUUGAUUCGUUCCGAAAAGUGGUAAGUGUCGUGGUUAACCUCUACUUGAGAGAAUUAGGAAUUGAUUGGUCUAGUUGUUACUUGAUUGAUGUGUGGGGAUGGAGUAUAUGCAAGGUGACAAGUGUAUAUGCGUCGUAAUUGGUUAAGCAUGCAGGGCGGGCUACUUAAUUGCAUGUUUUUAUUUAUAUUAUGCCUUCUUUUAUUCCAUGUUAUUACUCGUUCUGUGCUUUAAUUGCUACUUGCCUUUAUUUGUUAAAUUCAUGAUUACGUUCGAUGCAUGCCUCAAUUUCCUAUAUGUUUCCAUGUAUCCAUGCCUUCACUUAUAGACCGCCUUUACUUGCUUUAUGCUUUUAUAUGUUGUUAGCUAGUCAUUUUUACUUGUCUUAUGUCUUUACUUGUUUAGUUGCCUUACUUGGUCCAUUUACCUCUACUAUGUACGUUGAACUGUCUUAGAGACAUUAUUUGUUUGGUUCCCUUUUGUGUUACAUUAUGAGAUACACAAUAGCUGGUUGUAGUAUUAUUUGUAUAUGUGGAGCGGGUUGAGUGCGAAGUUAUAUUAUGAUUAUUCUUGACUGUUGAUUUCGUUACUGUAUUGUGCUUUGAAACUGAGCAUUGAUGACAUUCUGGGGCCCUCUAUUGUGUAUUUCUUAUUCCAGUUUCCAUGUUAAUUGAUGUUCCACUAUUCCGUUAUUUUUUCCACUUAUACUCAUACAGAUUUACAAUGAGUGUCUUGUCAUAACCUUGUCACUACUUCGUCCAGGUUAGGUUCGGCACUAACGGAGUACAUGAAGUCGGUUGCACUCAUACUACACUUCUACACUUCUUGUGCAGAUUCUGGUGUUGGUCCGAGCGGCGCUUAGUUGAGAUUUAUCCGGACUCAUUUCAUCAGGAGACUUGAGGUAGAACUGCACAUCACUCGUAGACCCUGAAGUUCCCUCUUUAUCUACUAUAUUGUUUGUUUUAUUUCGGACACUUGUAUUAUUACUUCAAACCCUAUUUGUAGUACUUUUAGCAGCUCAUGCACUACUGACACCAGUUUUGGAAUUAGACUAGACAGCGUGUAUAUGGAUUUUAUUAUGCAUUUCCAAGUUUUACAACUUUACCUUUGUAAUAAUCUGCUUUUAAAAUUGUUAAAGUGAUUUGUUGCACCUUAUUUUGGACAGGUCAAAACAAUAUAUAACUAGUGGUUCUUCUGAAGUUGAUAAAAGAGUUGCCACCUAAUAUUUAAGAUAUAUUAGGGUACCUAUAAGUUUGUGAAAAUUAUUAUCCUAAUGGUCUGCUAACCGGUGAGAUUUGGGUAAGGGUUCUAGUUAUUCUAAGGGGAAGGGGUUAUGCAUCCCUUAAAAUCUACUUGAGGUAGAUCCUUAAACUUGGGCUAGGCUUGGGAAAAGAAAUAUCUAUAUUCUGGUUGAUUAGUGGUUAUAAAUUGCUAAAUGGGUGUUGUAAAAGUGAGAAAAUGCUUAAAGCUUAUUUUGAAAUGCGUCUUGUUUCCUUUUGAGAAAAGAUGGUCUUUGACAUUUAGAAAUAAUAAUAUUUCUCUAAAAUCUUCCUAUUUAUAUUUGUGCAAAAUGAGAUGUAUUACGCGACAAAAGAGUAUACCUUGUCUAUUUGUUGAAAGUAGUUUUGGGGGCGAAAGACUCCGUGUAUUUCAAGAGAGGUAUUUGAUUUUCUUAAAACAGAAUCGUUAGUUUCACUGGUUUUGGAAAUCAAUGCGGUUGCCUCAGUUUGCUUUGAAGCAGUUUGGCCUAUUUCAGAGAUCUUUCAAAGGAAUUUCUGUUUUGACUAGCAUUGAAUUCCAUUUCCUUUUAAUCUUUUCUGGGCCCUAUUAAUUGACUAAAACCAAAGCAAACUUUAGUAAAGGAUAAACGAAAAAUAAGUUAUCGAAAAACAGUUUACCUUUGGAACCACUCAAAUUUUAAAAGGAUGUUAGGGUCGUUUUGAGGUGAUUAACCAUAGUUACCCCUUUUGUUUAUCAGAUUUGGCUUGCCCUAAGGCCAGCCUAAUCAAUCACAAAUAUUCAAUAGCAACGUUAGUUAUCCAAAGACAAUACAGGAAAAUAAAUAGUGACAAUUUCUAUACAAGUAAAAUGAGGAAAUUGGAUUCUUCUAUUGGACUGUCAAAAGCAAACCAGGCCCAGAUUGAUCCUAAAGCAGCGGCAAACUUCAGCAAAUAAGGAAAGCAGCCAAGUUCUGGAACUUGGGUCUGAGUUGCAAAUGAACUCAGCAGGACCAGUUCAAACAUACAUAUAAAAGAACAAGAAGAUAAUUAGUGUAUAUUAAUAUAAGGUAAAAUAAGAUAAAAUCAUAACAAGUAAAUAAAACUCUAAAGAGUACAUUAAGGUUUAGUUUUCAUUUGUGUCAACCCUGUGAAGAUUAUUUAAGGUUGGUGACCACCAAAGGCUUGGGGUGAAUCAUGUUUUAUUUAUGAAGUCCCCCUAUGUACCCCUGACACUUUAGAGUUCAAGAAGGUCUCAUGGACCCCGAGCAAUGCUUGUAUCAGGGAGGUGUACCUCAACCACAAAACCAGACUCACACCCAUAUACCCCCAGUCAUUGACUUCUUACUCUUCCUUAAAAGUUUAGACACAAAUAAAGAUUAACUCAACAUCUCAACCAACACAUAUCAUAAAAAGAACAAAUACAAAAGGUUCAUCCACACAGAAAAUGCCAAUUUGAAAUCAAACAACCAUAUUUAGCAUUGUAGCUAUCAUUAGAGUACCAAUCCAUAAUCAAAUGAGGUCUGAACACAAUAUUGGCCCUUAAGUACUCUUGACUGAACACAACAUAUAAGAACAAGUCAUAAUAGAUGGAUCAUUGAAGUUAUGAUAGUAACGAAGGGCCUUAAUGUUGAGUCUAAGUAUCACACCAUGCACAUAACACUUAUGAGGAUCAAUAAUCGAACACAGUCAAACACGAGUCACAAACAAAGAAGGUUGAUGACAUGAUGUUAGUAGAUAUGUUCAAUUAUGCCUUAUUAAGUAAUUUAAAGUAUCAUUGAGUGACAAAGAUGAUCAUAUGCACUUGUUCUGUCAAUUCCACUAAAGGUUCAACAUUCCAGGAUCUCCUUGAAUAGGUCCAGAUCACUAGAGCAGGUCAACAUAUAUCUUAGCAAUUUUCUAAGCAGUUUAUAGCAAGUAUACACAUAACUAAGACCUUACAUCAUAAACACUUACGCUAACGGCCUUGUUCAGGAUUCCUAAAAAGCCUAUCAAUCAACCAAAUCAUCAGAGACAUAAAUAUAAAUAGGAGAGUCGGCUUUAGUCUUUAUUUAGACCUAUUGGACAUGAUAUCUAGUUGCGAUAGUGUGUAGGCUAUAAGUUACCAGAACCACACAACUCUCAAAUUCACGAGUGAGUGCUUCUUUAAACAAUGAUGUCAAAUAGGCACGAGAUGACACUCACUUUAAUUGGUAAAGGUAAGGCAAGUUGAUCACAUCAAAUUAUCAUUUUGGGUAUGUGGACAGGUUUACUAACAAGGCAUUCCAACAAAGCUCAAUACAUAAUAUAUAUAUAUAUAUAUAUAUAUAUAUNNNNNNNNNNNNNNCUUAGCUAGUUAACACAAUGGUUUAAGCAUAAAAUUUUCUCAAGCUAAGGGCAUGCAAAAGUUUAUAACUUGACUAGCAGAAACAACAUGACAGAUGUAAGAACAAGUAUAUGAGUCAAUGAGGGUCAUUCAAUUAAUACAACAAUACAGGUUUCAUGUAGCUACAAUCACAGAGUUCAGGCAAUCAUGAGAUGGCAAACAAUGACACCCAUAACAUGGCUGAUCCUAAUAAGUUAUAUUUAGAUAUGUGAACAGAUUUACUAAUACACCAACAAGGUUCAUUAUAUGAUUCUUUACUUCAAACCAUCAUAAUAAACACACAUGAAUCACUUUAUUACAGUAUCAUAAACAAGUUGUCAAUUAGAGUCAAACAUAUCAACAUGAGAGUAUGAACAAUGAUGAGAACCAUUUCAUUGAACUAAAACGAUGCAACACAAUAUCACAGACAUGGGGAUUAAGAUAGCAUAGUGCAACAGGUAUUAAUAGGCCACCAAGAGAGGUUCAAAAGCUUAUUCACUCAACUUAGUCAACAUGAUGGUAUGUAUAUGGCUAUCAUUCGAUUGACAUGAUGGACCACAUAAUUAUCAACAUAAGGGUCAGCUAAUGUCACGACCCUAAGUUCCCUCUGUAGGAUGUCAUGACGACACCUAAUCUCUAAGACUAGAUAAGCCUAAAAACAUGCAGAAUAAUUGAAAUAACAACUUAGAAUCUCAAAACUUCAACAAUUACAUAAAUAAAAUCUGUAACUCAAUAUGUACAACUCCCAAAACCUGGUGAAAUAUAAGUCACAAGGUCUAAGUAAUAGUACUGAACAAUCAUAUACAUCACUAUCUAUAAUAGUGUAAUGAAAUAAGGAAAAAACAUGAUAGAAGGGGACUCCAAGGCCUGCGGACGCGGGCAGGUGUACCUUGAAGUCUCCAAAGCAAGUUCAGCUCACUAAUACUAAGAGUGAUAGGAAGUACCUGGAUCUGCACAAAAAGAUAUACAAAAGCAUAGUAUGCGUACACCACAUCGGUACCUAAUAAGUGCCAAGCCUAACCUCGGUAGAGUAGUGACGAGGUCAAGUCGAGGCCCUAUCGGAGAUAAUAAGAAACAAGACGAAAGAUAUAACGAUAUAAUGGUAAUGAUAAUGGAAAUGAAACAAUAAGGAAUUUAUGGAAAGUUAACAACACAGAAUCAAGGCAGUUAAUACAACACGGAAGGAAACAAGGAUUUACAUGUUAAGGAAAACAAACAACCAAGACAAAUACAUCAAAUAGAGAAAGAUCAACAAGGGCCACUACCGAGGUACCACCUCGUAGUCCCAAAUCAUAAAAGUAACUAAUAGUUUUUCCUUCUAUCAUAGCGGGAGCCUUUACAUUUAGUUUUAAAUUUUUUUUUUUCCGAAAUAGCAUCCCGCGUUUUAUCCCACCUUAUCACACCGCAUAGCUUCUAGUAGUUCUCCUACUAGCCACGCAUAUCAAGCCCACCUUAUCUCAUUGCAUGUAUUUCAACACUCAGACCUUAUACCACCGCAUGCGUAUCAAUAUCACAACGUAUCAUAAUUCGCACCUUAAGUGCCCAAUAUCACAACUUGCUAGAAAAGCCAAACAAUAGCAAAAAUUUCACAAUAAGGAAACCCACGACUCAACCACAAUGUACACAAAGUCUCAACAAUAACAACCGGAGAGUAACUCAAUAAAUUGAUAUUUUACAACUUACACUCUGCCUCAAUAGGAACCACGGCCUUUGAAACUCACUACCAAAUUCAACGGUAAGAUAUUCCAAGAAUAGCAAUUUCAAGUAAGGAUUCAACAGUUAAAUAAUGAAUAUGAAAUAAAAGAAAGCAAGUAAUUCAACUAAACAUGUAGGAAAAAUUGCAAAUAAGAGAUAAGACAAGUAGACAUGUGAAGUUAGACUAAAUAUGAUGACUAUAACAUGUUAAGGUAACUCAAUUAAAGUAUGAAAAUAAUCUACAUAGCUAAAACCAAAAAUUUCAACAUUUAGCCCGUGUACACACUCAUCACCUUGCAUACACGGCUUCCACAUAUCACAAUUAUCACAAUAAUACCAAAUCCUAAGGGGAAUUCCCCCCUCCCCCUCCCCCCCCCCACAAGGUUAGACAAGUCACUUACCUCAAACCACGCUAAAUCAAUCAACUAGAAGGCUUUUCCCUUAAUUUUUUAACUCCGAACGACUCGAAUCUAUCCAAAACAAUUGCAUACUAUAAAUAUAACUAUAAGAAACUAAUUCAAAUAAUGAAAUUACGAUCUUUGCAAAGAAUUGAAAAAUCGACCCAAAGAGUCACCCUAGGCCCGCAUCUCGAAACCCGACCAAAAUUAUAAAAGCCGAACACCCAUUCGAUAUCGAGUCCAACCAUACAAAAAUUAUUCAAAUCCAACCUCAUUUCGCCUUUCAAAACUUAAAAAUUUAGCCUAAGGAGUUUCUACCAUUUUUUCCCAAUUUCCAACUCCAAAGCACUAAUUAAAUGAUGAAAUUAUCAAUAGAUUCAUGUGAAUUAAUCAAAAACGAGUUAGAAUUCCUUACCCCAAAGUUCUCUCUGAAAAUCCCUCAAAAUGUUACCUCAAACAGAGCUCUCUACGUCCCAAAAUGAAUUAUGAAUCAACCCCUCGAAUUUUCCUUUUUUCUGCCCAACGAUCCUCGCCUCUGCGGCCUUUGUGUCGCUUCUGCGAUGCCGCAUGUGCGGAAAAACCAUCGCAGGUGCGGAUUCCACUUAAGUCCAGGGGUUCCUAUUCUGCGGUCAAUGGCUCGCACCUGCGAGCAUGCUUCUGUGGAGAAAAAGCCCGCACCUGCGGUCCUGUCCUAGCCCCUCCUCAAAUUUCGCUUCUGCGGAGAAAGGGUCGCGCCUGCGGAAGCACAUCUGCGCUCAAGCGUCCGCACCUGCGAACCCAUGCAUGGGAUGGGCUCCUCUGCUUCUGCGAUAACCAAGGCGCACAUGCGUGUCCGUACCUGCGGCCAGACCCUCCGCAGGUGCAAUGACACCAGAACAACAGAACUUCAACAAAAUACUAAGUCCUAAAAUGAUCCGAUUUUCAUCCGAUUCUCACCCGGGACUCCGUCUGAAUAUACCAACAAGUUUCAAAGCACAUAACAGACCUACUCGAGGACAAAAAUCACAUCAAACAACGUAAAUUCUAUGAAUCGUAACCCAAAUUCAAGCCUAAGUAAUUAUGAACUUCAGAAUUAUGAAACCAACGUCGAUUCGUACCAAAACAACUCCAAUUGACCUCAAAAUUUGCACACAAUUCAUAAAUGAUAUUACAGACCUAUUCCAUUUUCCAGAAUCAGGAUCCGACCCCGAUAUCAAUAAAGUCCACUCCCGGUCAAACUUUCCAAAAUCUUCCAACUUUCCAACUUUCGCCAACUCACGCCGAAACUACCUACGUAUCUCCAAAUCAACAUCCGGAUACACUCCUAAGACCAAAAUUACCCUACGAAGCUAUUGGAAUUGUCAAAACUCCAUUCCGGAGUUAUCUUCACAAAAGUCAAACUAUGGUCAACUCCUACGACUUAAACCUCCAAUUUAGGGACUAUGUGUCCCAUUUCACUCCGAAACUCACCCAAAACCAAAACCAACCACCCCGACAAGUUACAUAACCACAAUAUAGCAUAAAGAAAGCAUAAUUUUGGGGAUCGGGGUUAAAUACUCAAAACGACCGAUCGGGUCAUUAUAUCCCCUCUCUCUUAAAACAAACGUCCGUCCUCGAACGAGUAUAGAGACAUAUCUGAAAUGGUGAAAAGAUGAGGAUAACGGCUACGCAUAUCAUGCUCGAUCUCCCAAGUUGCCUCCUCGACUGGCUGACCCCUCCACUGAACCUUCACUGAAGCAAUGUUCUUCGACCUCAAAUUUCAAACCUGCUUGUCCUAAAUGGCCACCGGCUCCUCAACAUACGAUAAAUCCUUGUCCAAUUGGACUGAGCUGAAAUCCAACAUAUGAGACGGAUCGCCGUGAUACUUUCAGAGCAUAGAAACAUAGAAUAAUGGAUGAACUACAGCUAGACAAGGUGGUAGUGCAAGUUGGUAAACCACAUCUCCAACCCUCUCAAGAAUCUCAAAAGGUACGAUAUACCUAGGGCUUAACUUUCCCUUCUUCCCGAACCUCAUAACACCCUUCAUGGGAGAAAUUCGGAGCAAGACCUGCUCCCCAACCAUGAAUGCAAUGUCGUGAACCUUCCGAUUUGCAUAACUCUUCUGUUUGGAUUAGGCUGUACGAAGUCGAUCUUGAAUCAAUUUAACCUUUUCCAAAGAAUCCUGAUCCAAGUCUGUCUAACCUCAUCCGGCUCGAACCAACCCACUGGAGACCCGCACCGCCUACCAUAUAAAGCCUCAUACGAGGCCAUCUGAAUUCUCGACUGGUAACUGUUGUUGUAGGCAAACUCCGCAAGCGGCAAGAACUGAUCCAAAGAACCCCCAAACUCCAUCACACAUGCACAAAACAUAUUCUCCAAUAUCGAAAUAGUGCGCUCGGACUGUCCGUCCGUCUGAGGGUGAAAUAUUGUACUCAAAUCCACCUGUGUGCCUAACUCAUGCUGAACGGCCCUCCAGAACCGCGAUGUUAACAAUGUACCCCAGUUAGAGAUGAUAGAUACCGGCACGCCAUGAAGCCUGAAAAUCUCGCUAAUAUAAACCUGAGCCAGCUGCUUUGAAGAAUAAGUAGUCACCACUGGAAUGAAAUAAGGUGACUUGGUCAAUCUAUCCAUAAUUACCCAUACUGCAUCGAACUCUCUCCAAGUCUAUGGGAGCCCAACAACAAAAUUCAUAGUGAUUCGCUCCCAUUUCUACUCUGGAAUAUCUAACCUUUGAAGCAAUCCACCAGGUCGUUGAUGCUCAUACUUCACCUGUUGACAGUUUAGGCACCGAGCUACAUAUUCCAUUAUGUCCUUAUUCAUCCGCCUCCACCAAUAGUGCUGCCUCAAGUCCUGAUAUAUCUUGGUGGCACCCGGAUGAAUGGAGUACCGCGAACUAUGAGCCUCUUGGAGAAUCAACUCAUACAAUCCAUCUACAUUAGGCACACAUAGCUUGCCCUGCAUCCGUAAUACACUGUCAUCCCCAAUAGUGACCUCUUUGGCAUCGCCGUGCUGAACUGUGUCCUUGAGGACAAACAUAUAGGGGUCGUCAUACUGACGCCCUCUGAUACGAUCAUAAAAUAGAAGACCGAGAAACCACACAAGCCAAAACUCAGCUCGGCUCCGAAACAUCCAAUCUAACAAACUGGUUGGCCAAAUCCUAAACAUCCAAGGCUAAUGGCCUCUCUGCUACCGUUAGAUAUGCUAAACUGCCCAGGCUCUCCGCCUUGCGACUCAAGGCAUCGACCACCAUAUUGGCCUUUCCAAGAUGAUAUAGAAUGGUGAUAUCAUAGUCCUUACGCAACUCUAACCACCUCUAUUGCCGCAAGUUAAGAUCCUUCUGUUUGAUGAGAUGCUGUAGACUCCAGUAGUCGGUGUAGACCUUACUAGAGACACCAUACAAAUAGUGCCGCUAGAUCUUCAAGGCAUGAACAAUAGCUGCUAACUCGAGGUCAUGGACAAAAUAGUUCUUCUAAUGCACCUUCAGUUGUCUAGAUGCGUAGGAAAUCACCUUACCGUCUUACAUCAACACCGCACUGAGACCGAUAUGCGAUGCAUCAUAGUACACAGUGUAAGACCCUGAACCCAAAGGCAACAACAACAUUGGGGCUGUAGUCAAAGUUUGUCUUGAGCUUUUGAAAGCUCGCAUCACCCUCCUCAGUCCACCUGAACGGAGCACCCUUCUAGGUCAAUCUGGUCAUGGGUGCAGCAAUAGAUAAGAAACCCUACACAAAUCGACGGUAAUACCCCGCCAAACUAAGAAACUCCGGAUCUCCGUCGCUGAAGAUGGUCUAAGCCAACUCUAUACUACUUCAAUCUUCUUCGGAUCUACCUUGAUCCCCUCACUCGAUAAAAUAUGACCCAAAAAUUCUACCGAAUCAAGCCUAAAUUCACACUUUGAAAAUUUUGCAUAUAACAUCUUUUCUCGCAAGGUCUAGAGCACGAUCCUCAAGUGAUGCUCAUGAUUCUCCCAGCUCCGGGAGUACACCAGAAUGUGGUCAAUAAACACAAUGAUAAAUGAGUCAAGAUAGGGCUGGAAAACACUAUUCAUCAAGUGCAUAAAUGCUGCUGGGGCAUUGGUCAGUCCAAAAGAUAUUACAAGGAACUCGUAAUGAUCAUACCGAGUCCUGAAGGCAGUUUUCAGGAUAUCUAGCUCCCGAAUCUUCAACUGAUGAUAGCCUGAACGUAAGUCAAUCUUGGAGAACACUCUGGCACUAUAUAACUGAUCAAAUAGGUCAUCAAUACGUGGCAAUGGAUACUUGUUCUUCACUGUAACCUUGUUCAACUAGCGAUAAUCAAUGCACAAGCGCAUAAAACCGUCCUUCUACUUUACAAACAAUACCGGAGCACCCCAAGGUGAUACACUAGGCCGAAUGAAACCCUUAUUAAGCAACUCAUGUAACUGCUUUUUGAACUCUUUCAACUCUAGUUGGGUCAUACGAUAUGGAGGAAUAGAAAUGGGCUUAGUGCCCGGUAACAAAUCAAUACCAAAAUUAAUGUCAGGUGGCAUGACCGAAAGAUCCGCUGGGAAUACAUCUGGAUAAUCCCUCACUACCAGAACUGACUCAACGGUAAGAGUAUCAACACUGACAUCUCUCACAUAUGCUAGAUACAUAUUACACCCCUUCUCAACCAUCCGCUGAGCCUUUAAAAAUGAGAUAACCCUGCUAGGAACAUAAUCUAAAGUACCUCUCCACUCUAACCGUGGUAAACCUGGCAUAGCCAACGUCACAGUCUUGGCGCGACAAUCAAGAAUAGCAUGACAGGGCGACAACCAAUCCAUGCCCAAAAUAACAUCAAAAUCUAUUAUACUGAGCAGCAAUAAAUCAGCUUUGGUCUCAAAACCACUAAGGAUAACUAAACACGUCUGAUACACAUGGUCAACAACAAGGGAAUCUCCCUCAGGUGUGGACACAUAAAUGGGUGAACUCAAAGAAUCACGGGAUACACCCAAAUAUGGAGCAAAGUAAGAUGACAUAUGAAUAAUUAGAGCCUGGAUCAAAUAAGACUGAUGCAUCCUUAUGGCAGACCAAAACAAUACCUGUGAUGACUGAGUAAGAUGCAACUGCCUUCGUCCUAGCAGGAAGAGCAUAAUAUCUAGACUAGCCUCCCCCUUUAGGGUGACCUCUACCUGCCCGACCCCCGCCUCUAGCUGGCUGUACAUGUGGAGUGGCAACUGGUGCGAUAACCAUGGGCUGAGAAGCCUGAGGACCUAGUGGAAUACGCGGAGUCUGAGUAGUCUGUGGAGGUGCACACCUCUUGAGUCUAGGGCAAUCCCUC
RNAcentral lists this long non-coding RNA (13540 nucleotides) under Nicotiana tabacum (common tobacco). RNAcentral describes it as "long non-coding RNA (NTAB_LNC003665)". The record is from RNAcentral. Lineage: Eukaryota; Viridiplantae; Streptophyta; Magnoliopsida; Solanales; Solanaceae.